Molecule: small nuclear RNA, 106 nt
Organism: Nycticebus coucang (slow loris)
Lineage: Eukaryota; Metazoa; Chordata; Mammalia; Primates; Lorisidae
Source: RefSeq, a predicted model, not a curated record
GGGCUCACUUCAGCAGUACAUAUACUAAAAUUGGAAUGAUACAGAUAAGGUUAGCAUGGCCCCAGCACAGGAUGACAGGCAAAAACUAUACAAUUGGAAUUUGCUA